Molecule: small nuclear RNA, 107 nt
Organism: Talpa occidentalis (Iberian mole)
Lineage: Eukaryota; Metazoa; Chordata; Mammalia; Eulipotyphla; Talpidae
Source: RefSeq, a predicted model, not a curated record
GGGCUCGCUUUGGCAGUACAUACGCUAAAAUUGAAACAAUACAGAGAAGAUUAAUGUGGCCCCUGCACAAGGAUGAUACACAGAGUCAUGAAGUGGCCAUAUUUUAU